RNAcentral lists this ribosomal RNA (446 nucleotides) under uncultured bacterium. Its description in RNAcentral is "SSU rRNA". It matches the Rfam family "Bacterial small subunit ribosomal RNA", at positions 26 to 518 of the family's 1533-position model. The record is from RNAcentral.
AGAACGAACGCUGGCGGCAGGCCUAACACAUGCAAGUCGAACGCUGUAGCAAUACAGAGUGGCAGACGGGUGAGUAACGCGUGGGAACCUUCCCAGUGGUGCGGAAUAGCUCAGGGAAACUUGAGGUAAUACCGCAUAAGCCCUUAGGGGGAAAGAUUUAUCGCCAUUGGAUGGGCCCGCGUCGGAUUAGCUAGUUGGUGAGGUAAUGGCUCACCAAGGCAACGAUCCGUAGCUGGUUUGAGAGAAUGACCAGCCACACUGGGACUGAGACACGGCCCAGACUCCUACGGGAGGCAGCAGUGGGGAAUCUUGGACAAUGGGCGCAAGCCUGAUCCAGCCAUGCCGCGUGAGUGACGAAGGCCUUAGGGUUGUAAAGCUCUUUUGCCGGGGACGAUAAUGACGGUACCCGGAGAAUAAGUCCCGGCUAACUUCGUGCCAGCAGCCGC